Molecule: ribosomal RNA, 492 nt
Filed under: uncultured bacterium
Lineage: Bacteria
Description: partial 16S ribosomal RNA
Rfam family: Bacterial small subunit ribosomal RNA
Source: RNAcentral
AGUGAACGCUGGCGGUAGGCCUAACACAUGCAAGUCGAACGGCAGCACAGUAAGAGCUUGCUCUUACGGGUGGCGAGUGGCGGACGGGUGAGGAAUACAUCGGAAUCUACUUUUUCGUGGGUGAUAACGUAGGGAAACUUACGCUAAUACCGCAUACGACCUACGGGUGAAAGCAGGGGAUCUUCGGACCUUGCGCGAUUGAAUGAGCCGAUGUCGGAUUAGCUAGUUGGCGGGGUAAAGGCCCACCAAGGCGACGAUCCGUAGCUGGUCUGAGAGGAUGAUCAGCCACACUGGAACUGAGACACGGUCCAGACUCCUACGGGAGGCAGCAGUGGGGAAUAUUGGACAAUGGGCGCAAGCGUGAUCCAGCCAUACCGCGUGGGUGAAGAAGGCCUUCGGGUUGUAAAGCCCUUUUGUUGGGAAAGAAAAGCAGCAGGUUAAUACCCCGCUGUUCUGACGGUACCCAAAGAAUAAGCACCGGCUAACUUCGUG